CCUACGGGUGGCAGCAGUGAGGAAUAUUGGUCAAUGGACGCAAGUCUGAACCAGCCAUGCCGCGUGCAGGAAGACGGCUCUAUGAGUUGUAAACUGCUUUUGUACGAGGGUAAACGCAGAUACGCGUAUCUGUCUGAAAGUAUCGUACGAAUAAGGAUCGGCUAACUCCGUGCCAGCAGCCGCGGUAAUACGGAGGAGUCAAGCGUUAUCCGGAUUUAUUGGGUUUAAGGGGUGCGUAGGCGGUCGGAUAAGUUAGAGGUGAAAUCCCGAGGCUCAACUUCGGAAUUGCCUCUGAUACUGUUCGGCUAGAGAGUAGUUGCGGUAGGCGGAAUGUAUGGUGUAGCUGUGAAAUGCUUAGAGAUCAUACAGAACACCAAUUGCGAAGGCAGCUUACCAAGCUACUUCUGACGUUGAGGCACGAAAGCGUGGGGAGCAAACAGGAUUAGAUACCCCAGUAGUC
Molecule: ribosomal RNA, 460 nt
Filed under: uncultured bacterium
Lineage: Bacteria
Description: partial 16S ribosomal RNA
Rfam family: Bacterial small subunit ribosomal RNA
Source: RNAcentral